Molecule: long non-coding RNA, 768 nt
Filed under: Malus domestica (apple)
Lineage: Eukaryota; Viridiplantae; Streptophyta; Magnoliopsida; Rosales; Rosaceae
Description: long non-coding RNA (MDOM_LNC020037)
Source: RNAcentral
AAAAUGUAGCAUAUCCAGGAGCUUAUUCGUUAUCUGCAAUUUGGACUCUGAUGGCUGGCUCUUGGUGUAGCAUCAUCUAUUGGUCUUGGUAAGUGCGAGUUAUAUUCAAAAUAGCAUGAAAACUCACAACCUGGAUACUGGAAAUCAUUAUACAAUCCAUACUUGAGGGCAAGUUCUCUUUUCUUUUUUGUUUAGUGUGGAUUCUCUCUCUUUUGGAGUUUCCUUUAUUGAUUUUAUAAUUAAUCAAAAUGUAGCAUAUCCAGGAGCUUAUUCGUUAUCUGUAAUUUGGACUCUGAUGGCUGGCUCUUGGUGUAGCAUCAUCUAUUGGUCUUGGUAAGUGCGAGUUAUAUUCAAAAUAGCAUGAAAACUCACAACCUGGAUACUGGAAAUCAUUAUACAAUCCAUACUUGAGGGCAAGUUCUCUUUUCUUUUUUGUUUAGUGUGGAUUCUCUCUCUUUUGGAGUUUCCUUUAUUGAUUUUAUAAUUAAUCAAAAUGUAGCAUAUCCAGGAGCUUAUUCGUUAUCUGCAAUUUGGACUCUGAUGGCUGGCUCUUGGUGUAGCAUCAUCUAUUGGUCUUGGUAAGUGCGAGUUAUAUUCAAAAUAGCAUGAAAACUCACAACCUGGACACUGGAAAUCAUUAUACAAUCCAUACUUGAGGGCAAGUUCUCUUUUCUUUUUUGUUUAGUGUGGAUUCUCUCUCUUUUUUUUUUGUAAUUUCUGGUGCUUUCAGUAACUUCAAUGAUAAUUAGUUUUUUUUUUUCCUUUUUG